Long non-coding RNA from Phyllopteryx taeniolatus (common seadragon), 2582 nucleotides. RefSeq lists it as uncharacterized. NCBI's taxonomy places the organism in Eukaryota, Metazoa, Chordata, Actinopteri, Syngnathiformes, Syngnathidae. The transcript is spliced from 4 exons. The record is from RefSeq and is a predicted model, not a curated record.
CAGUUGAUUUUAUUAGGAGGACAGAUAUCAGCGGUUCCUGGAGAGGAGAGGACAUAAUGAGUCUGAUCAAUCACUAAGAAAAUGAUCAGUGACCCGCGUCUACCGCAAUGAGGAAGAACGGCUGUGAACAACACGGCGUCGCUUAUCAUUCAUCUUCGAAUGAAGGCAGACGAGCCGAGGAUGACUUGCAUGGACGUCCCUGAGAAAUGGCGCAUGCAGCCUGCACAUGUAGCGUAAACAUCCUCAGAAAAACACAUUGGCCAGUCCAUCAAAUGCGGGAAUUCAUUAGCAGCACAAGUCGUUAACAAGGUUCUGUUGUUUCGCUUCUUUAUGAGGUGUGUUGAUUAAUGUACAGUGAAAUGACGUUGGCUUGUCUAUGUGACUUUUCCCCACACUCACAGUUAUGUCUUGUUCUAUCUCGUUUGUACAUUGUGUAAGUAUCACCAAGAGUAGAAAUUAGAGUCUUGAAUAAUAAAAAGAUAGCCAUACUUUAUUUUUGUCUAAAGAGACAAAAGCUGUGCCGUGUUUCCAUGAGCUGUCCGCAUGUCACAGGACAAGAACAACAGCCUAAUAGCUUUUUUGGGUGGUGGCCCAAAUAUAGAAAUAGACCCAGAUGCUAAAAUAUUAACUUGGAGGCCACCUAAUCUUGGAAAACACAUUUUUGCUUCUAUGACUUAGUGGUGGUAUAGGAUUUAAAAGUGGGAGAUUGCUUUAAAUGGAUGCAGAUGAAGUCCCAAAAUGUGCAUUUGUAAUAUUGUGAUUGCAGACUAACGACCAUCCAUCCAUUUUCUGAACUGAUUAUCCUCGCAAGGGGCACAGGUGAGCUGGAGCUGGCUUUGGCUCGACCAGCUGAUUUUGGGCGAGAAGUAUUGUACAUCCUGGACUGGUCGCAGGCCAAUCGCGGGGCAAAUAGAGACAAACAACCAUUCACAUUCACACUUAUACACACACUUAAAUGGAUGAUUGCUUUUUUUUUUUUAAGUACAUAUACACAACAAAUUGAUAAAUAGCUAGUUGUGAAAUCAGAAGCUGCUUUAAAAGUGAAGACAAUUUGGAAUUUCGGUAUUUUAACAAGAAACAUGAAGUCAACGUACAUGAUUUGUUUUCGCGGGCCACAUAAAACGAUGGGAUAAGCCGGAUCUGGCCCCUGGACCUUGACUUUUGACACUUGUGUCUUAAAUGUAGCUAACAUGAAUGUUAAUGGAAUGUAGGAGGAACCUGGAGUACCUGGACAAACAGGAGCGUCGGGCCCAGAAACAAUCGACUGUGAGGCAGACAUGCUAACCACUAGUGCAACGUGUUGCCCCUACAGACUAACAACCUUCUUCUACAGUGCCAACCAACAUAUCUUUUUAUUGUAAACAAUUUACGAAAUCUAUACAUACGUUGGUGAACAGAUGGAGCCUGAGGAAUGUUUGGUGAGAUAUGCAAAACCUCUGCGUAAACAGUCCAUACCUGGCAUGUGGACCAUCCUGCAGUUGCACACCCGCACAACCUCGUUGGUCUCGCAGAGCAGGCGACAGGCGCUGAUGCUAUACGUGUCGUAUCCGGGGAACUUUUCCUUGCUGCUGGAGCGGCAGUUCCCCCAGGGCUGGGGCAGGUCUGGAAGCCCGGAGAGACGCCAAAGCCCAGCUGGUGAAUGUAGGGAGGCUCAUCCUGACUGUGGAUUUGAACUCGGAUUCCGGCCUCCAGAGACGUCUCAUCUUCAAAAUGGAGCACAGUCACAGCAUGGAAAGUCAGAGGACAAAGCAAAUGGAAUGUCACCAUGUGACACCCCAGAUUCAGAUGCUAAUAAUGAAACAUAUUUUCUCAUGUGUAAAAAAGCACAUGGAAACUACACCUUCAAACAUUUUGGCAAAUAUGCCAGCUGUUUGCAGCAUAGUCAUUUGAUGCCGGUACAGCGGAACCUCAAUUCACGAGCUUAAUUCUAUCCUAGAAUCUGUUUGCAAACUGAAGAAAAGUUAUUAUUGUUAUUAAUAUUUAGUUUUUAAACUGAAUUGUUUCGGGAAAAUGCGUUCUUGAACUGAUGUUCCACUGCAUAAACGAACAGUGACCACUUUUUCGUCAAUUUUUUUCCACUUUCACCUUAGAAUUUGUGGACACACUGAGGCAGAUUACAGGGCAACCGCUCCAGUAAAAUGCUCCUCAUCAUGCCACUGUUAGAAUUCAACAGUGUUAUUGAAGAAUUUAACACAUGAUGCCCCAUGAAAACGUCACAGAUGAUGGCACAUUUUAACACGACACCUGAUUAUAACACUUCUAAUUCCAACAUAUCGGGGAUCGACCUUAGCGAUUUCACUAAACUCUAACUGUAUUUCGAUUAUGUCUCGCGAGUGGAAUUCAAACCAGCUACAAAUCGAAGGGAAGACAAGCAUUGACUUGUGUUUUACUGAACCGUUUACUCAGAUUUGAAAAAAAAGUCAGUUAAAAAAAAAAAAACCCGACAUACACAUUUUGUCAUGGUACUCAAUAGGUUGACAUUAUAGCUUAGUUUUCUCAUCAGAUCACAAACUCUGGCGAGAAAGGGUAAGAGUACAAAAUGACGCACAUGAUUAUUUUAUGUUAAUUCAACCUCCUGAAUU